Molecule: ribosomal RNA, 253 nt
Filed under: uncultured bacterium
Lineage: Bacteria
Description: partial 16S ribosomal RNA
Rfam family: Bacterial small subunit ribosomal RNA
Source: RNAcentral
UACGUAGGGGGCAAGCGUUAUCCGGAUUUACUGGGUGUAAAGGGAGCGUAGACGGCAGUGCAAGUCUGGAGUGAAAGGCGGGGGCUCAACCCCCGGACUGCUCUGGAAACUGUACGGCUGGAGUGCAGGAAAGGUAAGUGGAAUUCCUAGUGUAGCGGUGAAAUGCGUAGAUAUUAGGAGGAACACCAGUGGCGAAGGCGGCUUACUGGACUGUAACUGACGUUGAGGCUCGAAAGCGUGGGGAGCAAACAGG